AGAAUCAACGCUGGCGGCGUGCCUAACACGUGCAAGUCGAACGGGAAAGUGGGAGCAAUCCCACGAGUAAAGUGGCGCACGGGUGAGUAACACGUGACUAACCUACCCUUGAGUGGGGGAUAACCUAGGGAAACCUGGGCUAAUACCGCAUAAUACCUACGGGUCAAAGGAGCAAUUCGCUUUAGGAGGGGGUCGCGGCAGAUUAGUUAGUUGGCGGGGUAAUGGCCCACCAAGACAGUGAUCUGUAUCCGGCCUGAGAGGGCGCACGGACACACUGGAACUGAAACACGGUCCAGACUCCUACGGGAGGCAGCAGUGGGGAAUUUUGCGCAAUGGGGAAACCCUGACGCAGCAACGCCGCGUGGAGGAUGAAGCCCCUUGGGGCGUAAACUCCUUUCGAUCGGGAAGAUAAUGACGGUACCGGAAGAAGAAGCCCCGGCUAACUUCGCGCCAGCAGCCGC
Molecule: ribosomal RNA, 461 nt
Filed under: uncultured bacterium
Lineage: Bacteria
Description: SSU rRNA
Rfam family: Bacterial small subunit ribosomal RNA
Source: RNAcentral